GUGAUAAGGAAUUUGGAAUUUGUACAGACACCACACCUGGUUACACGUGUAGUUGUCAAAAUGGAUAUACAGGUGAUGGAUUUACAUGUUCAGAUUUAAACGAGUGUUCACAAACAGAUAGGGGGAAUUGUACACAAGGUUGCUUGAAUAACAUUGGCAGCUUUAUUUGUUUUUGUGGUAAUGGUUACACAUUAGAAAAUGAUGGAAAAACAUGCAAAAAUAUUGACGAAUGCGCAAGAGAUAUUGAUAAUAAUUGUUAUGACAGUACUUUAUGUACUGACACAGAUGGUAGUUACGCAUGUAAUUGCCCACCUGAUUUUGAAUUGAAAGCCGAUGGA
Mytilus californianus (California mussel) is the source of this 338-nucleotide long non-coding RNA. RefSeq lists it as uncharacterized. Lineage: Eukaryota; Metazoa; Mollusca; Bivalvia; Mytilida; Mytilidae. The transcript has 3 exons. The record is from RefSeq and is a predicted model, not a curated record.